RNAcentral lists this ribosomal RNA (253 nucleotides) under uncultured bacterium. RNAcentral describes it as "partial 16S ribosomal RNA". It matches the Rfam family "Bacterial small subunit ribosomal RNA", at positions 524 to 776 of the family's 1533-position model. The record is from RNAcentral.
UACGUAGGUGGCAAGCGUUACUCGGAAUCACUAGGCGUAAAGCGCAGGUAGGCGGUUCGGUAAGUCUCUUGUGAAAGCUCCCGGCUUAACUGGGAGAGGUCAAGGGAAACUGUCGGGCUAGAGUGUGGCAGAGGAUGCUGGAAUUCCUGGUGUAGCGGUGAAAUGCGUAGAUAUCGGGAGGAACACCUAUGGCGAAAGCAGGCAUCUGGGCAUGUCCUGACGCUGAGGAGCGAAAGUGUGGGGAGCGAACAGG